This 520-nucleotide ribosomal RNA is filed under the name uncultured Glomus. RNAcentral's name for it is "SSU rRNA". It matches the Rfam family "Eukaryotic small subunit ribosomal RNA", at positions 569 to 1090 of the family's 1831-position model. The record is from RNAcentral. Lineage: Eukaryota; Fungi; Glomeromycota; Glomeromycetes; Glomerales; Glomeraceae.
AGCAGCCGCGGUAAUUCCAGCUCCAAUAGCGUAUAUUAAAGUUGUUGCAGUUAAAAAGCUCGUAGUUGAAUUUCGGGAUCAAUUAAUUGGUCGUGCCUCUGGUACGUACUGAUUUUAUUGGUUUCUCCCUUCUGACGAACCAUGAUGUCAUUAAUUUGGUGUCGUGGAGAAUCAGGACUGUUACUUUGAAAAAAUUAGAGUGUUUAAAGCAAGCUAACGCUUGAAUACAUUAGCAUGGAAUAAUGAAAUAGGACGUUUGAUCCUAUUUUGUUGGUUUCUAGGAUCGACGUAAUGAUUAAUAGGGAUAGUUGGGGGCAUUAGUAUUCAAUUGUCAGAGGUGAAAUUCUUGGAUUUAUUGAAGACUAACUACUGCGAAAGCAUUUGCCAAGGAUGUUUUCAUUAAUCAAGAACGAAAGUUAGGGGAUCGAAGACGAUCAGAUACCGUCGUAGUCUUAACCAUAAACUAUGCCGACUAGGGAUCGGAUGAUGUUAACUUUUUAAUGACUCAUUCGGCGCCUUA